GACGAACGCUGGCGGCGUGCUUAACACAUGCAAGUCGAACGGUAAGGCUCCAGCUUGCUGGGGUACACGAGUGGCGAACGGGUGAGUAACACGUGGGUGACCUGCCCUGCACUUCGUGAUAAGCCUGGGAAACUGGGUCUAAUACCGGAUAGGACCAUGGUGUGGAUACUGUGGUGGAAAGUUUUUUCGGUGUGGGAUGGGCCCGCGGCCUAUCAGCUUGUUGGUGGGGUAAUGGCCUACCAAGGCGGCGACGGGUAGCCGGCCUGAGAGGGUGGACGGCCACAUUGGGACUGAGACACGGCCCAGACUCCUACGGGAGGCAGCAGUGGGGAAUAUUGCACAAUGGGCGGAAGCCUGCUGCAGCGACGCCGCGUGGGGGAUGACGGCCUUCGGGUUGUAAACUCCUUUCACCAUCGACGAAGGGUUUCUGACGGUAGAUGGAGAAGAAGCACCGGCUAACUACGUG
RNAcentral lists this ribosomal RNA (466 nucleotides) under uncultured bacterium. RNAcentral describes it as "partial 16S ribosomal RNA". It matches the Rfam family "Bacterial small subunit ribosomal RNA", at positions 28 to 507 of the family's 1533-position model. The record is from RNAcentral.